GGCAUUCUGGGAUGUCUUUCAUCAGCCUACACCUUUAAUAGUCAGUGGGACAGAUGCCGACAUAAAGAAUAUUCCAGAUUCAAGAUAGGGUACAACCGAUGACCAGGCAGGGCGGGAUGAAGCAAGUAGCAAGGGAUUGGCUUGGCUGAAUAGAACAGAUGCGACCGGUAAUGAGAUAUUGAAUGGAAAGAAUGAAAGCGACGCACGUACUGGAUUAAGGGUGUGCCAACUACUCUACUUCCCUAUUUCUUGCCUUUUCACCUCCCCUAAUUGGUGCACUCUUUCCCCCAAUUCCCCGAUAGAGAAGAAAUAGAUAAGCAAUGACUGGACUAGACCAAUGAAAGCGGACCAAGGUUUUUAUGCGUUAGCCAAGCGUGCCCAUUACAAUGCCUCUAUUACAGAAGAGAAAGGGACGCGGCCUAUUGACCAGCCGAAGAGCAUCCUUAUAAAAGAAUGAAUGGGAAGCAGGUAUUAUUUUUGCUUAGCGCUUGUGCAAAGGAACGGUCUAUAUUGCUAGAGUUAUCUUUACUUCAUUCCCCGUGUACUCCUCUAUUCUUAUAUUUGAAUUCCGUCUCUAAGAUCUUUUAGUGCCUGCCGAGACUUAUUUCCUCUUGACUAUAGUUGAAUGGAAGUUUCAAUUUCUAAGUCUAAAAAAAUUUCUUUUAUGGAGUCCUCAUAGUGCAUGCAUUCC
RNAcentral lists this long non-coding RNA (691 nucleotides) under Prunus persica (peach). RNAcentral's name for it is "long non-coding RNA (PPER_LNC000546)". The record is from RNAcentral. Lineage: Eukaryota; Viridiplantae; Streptophyta; Magnoliopsida; Rosales; Rosaceae.